GAUGAACGCUGGCGGCGUGCCUAAUACAUGCAAGUCGAGCGAACAGACGAGGAGCUUGCUCCUCUGACGUUAGCGGCGGACGGGUGAGUAACACGUGGAUAACCUACCUAUAAGACUGGGAUAACUUCGGGAAACCGGAGCUAAUACCGGAUAAUAUAUUGAACCGCAUGGUUCAAUAGUGAAAGACGGUUUUGCUGUCACUUAUAGAUGGAUCCGCGCCGCAUUAGCUAGUUGGUAAGGUAACGGCUUACCAAGGCGACGAUGCGUAGCCGACCUGAGAGGGUGAUCGGCCACCCUGGAACUGAGCCACGGUCCAGACUCCUACGGGAGGCAGCAGUAGGGAAUCUUCCGCAAUGGGCGAAAGCCUGACGGAGCAACGCCGCGUGAGUGAUGACGGUCUUCGGAUCGUAAAACUCUGUUAUUAGGGAAGAACAAAUGUGUAAGUAACUAUGCACGUCUUGACGGUACCUAAUCAGAAAGCCACGGCUAACUACGUG
RNAcentral lists this ribosomal RNA (497 nucleotides) under uncultured bacterium. RNAcentral's name for it is "partial 16S ribosomal RNA". It matches the Rfam family "Bacterial small subunit ribosomal RNA", at positions 28 to 507 of the family's 1533-position model. The record is from RNAcentral.